CCUACGGGCGGCUGCAGUAGGGAAUCUUCCACAAUGGGCGAAAGCCUGAUGGAGCAACGCCGCGUGGGUGAAGAAGGUCUUCGGAUCGUAAAACCCUGUUGUUAGAGAAGAAAGUGCGUGAGAGUAACUGUUCACGUUUCGACGGUAUCUAACCAGAAAGCCACGGCUAACUACGUGCCAGCAGCCGCGGUAAUACGUAGGUGGCAAGCGGUAUCCGGAUUUAUUGGGCGUAAAGGGAACGCAGGCGGUCUUUUAAGGCUGAUGUGAAAGCCAUCGGCUUAACCGGAGUAGUGCAUUGGAAACUGGGAGACGUGAGUGCAGAAGAGGAGAGUGGAACUCCAUGUGUAGCGGUGAAAUGCGUAGAGAUAUGGAAGAACACCAGUGGCGAAGGCGGCUCUCUGGUCUGUAACUGACGCUGAGGUUCGAAAGCGUGGGUAGCAAACAGGAUUAGAUACCCGAGUAGUC
Molecule: ribosomal RNA, 465 nt
Filed under: uncultured bacterium
Lineage: Bacteria
Description: partial 16S ribosomal RNA
Rfam family: Bacterial small subunit ribosomal RNA
Source: RNAcentral